GUGGGGUUAGCUCAGUUGGUUAGAGUGUGGUGCUAAUAAUGCCAAGGUCACAGGUUCAAUCCCUGCUUACUGCA
RNAcentral lists this transfer RNA (74 nucleotides) under Pelecanus crispus (Dalmatian pelican). It matches the Rfam family "tRNA". Rfam says of the family: Transfer RNA (tRNA) molecules are approximately 80 nucleotides in length. Their secondary structure includes four short double-helical elements and three loops (D, anti-codon, and T loops). The record is from Rfam by way of RNAcentral. Lineage: Eukaryota; Metazoa; Chordata; Aves; Pelecaniformes; Pelecanidae.